GGAGGGGUGUCCGAGAGGCUUAAGGAGGUGGUCUUGAAAACCACUAGGCGGGCAACCGCCUCGUGGGUUCGAAUCCCACCCCCUCCGCCA
This 90-nucleotide transfer RNA is filed under the name Chloroflexota bacterium. Its description in RNAcentral is "tRNA-Ser". It matches the Rfam family "tRNA". From Rfam's summary of the family: Transfer RNA (tRNA) molecules are approximately 80 nucleotides in length. The record is from RNAcentral. Lineage: Bacteria; Bacillati; Chloroflexota.